GGCCCAAAUUUGAAGUACAGUAGAUUAGUAGGGUCAGCUGAUACGACUGAUUUACUCUACUUCAAAUUUGGGCCC
Molecule: non-coding RNA, 75 nt
Organism: Haemonchus contortus (barber pole worm)
Lineage: Eukaryota; Metazoa; Nematoda; Chromadorea; Rhabditida; Trichostrongylidae
Source: Rfam